GGGUUGUGAGGUUAAGCGACUAAGCGUACACGGUGGAUGCCCUGGCAGUCAGAGGCGAUGAAGGACGUGCUAAUCUGCGAUAAGCGUCGGUAAGGUGAUAUGAACCGUUAUAACCGGCGAUUUCCGAAUGGGGAAACCCAGUGUGAUUCGUCACACUAUCAUUAACUGAAUCCAUAGGUUAAUGAGGCGAACCGGGGGAACUGAAACAUCUAAGUACCCCGAGGAAAAGAAAUCAACCGAGAUUCCCCCAGUAGCGGCGAGCGAACGGGGAGCAGCCCAGAGUCUGAAUCAGUGUGUGUGUUAGUGGAAGCGUCUGGAAAGGCGUGCGAUACAGGGUGACAGCCCCGUACACAAAAAUGCACAUACUGUGAGCUCGAUGAGUAGGGCGGGACACGUGGUAUCCUGUCUGAAUAUGGGGGGACCAUCCUCCAAGGCUAAAUACUCCUGACUGACCGAUAGUGAACCAGUACCGUGAGGGAAAGGCGAAAAGAACCCCGGCGAGGGGAGUGAAAAAGAACCUGAAACCGUGUACGUACAAGCAGUGGGAGCACGCUUAGGCGUGUGACUGCGUACCUUUUGUAUAAUGGGUCAGCGACUUAUAUUCUGUAGCAAGGUUAACCGAAUAGGGGAGCCGAAGGGAAACCGAGUCUUAACUGGGCGUUAAGUUGCAGGGUAUAGACCCGAAACCCGGUGAUCUAGCCAUGGGCAGGUUGAAGGUUGGGUAACACUAACUGGAGGACCGAACCGACUAAUGUUGAAAAAUUAGCGGAUGACUUGUGGCUGGGGGUGAAAGGCCAAUCAAACCGGGAGAUAGCUGGUUCUCCCCGAAAGCUAUUUAGGUAGCGCCUCGUGAAUUCAUCUCCGGGGGUAGAGCACUGUUUCGGCAAGGGGGUCAUCCCGACUUACCAACCCGAUGCAAACUGCGAAUACCGGAGAAUGUUAUCACGGGAGACACACGGCGGGUGCUAACGUCCGUCGUGAAGAGGGAAACAACCCAGACCGCCAGCUAAGGUCCCAAAGUCAUGGUUAAGUGGGAAACGAUGUGGGAAGGCCCAGACAGCCAGGAUGUUGGCUUAGAAGCAGCCAUCAUUUAAAGAAAGCGUAAUAGCUCACUGGUCGAGUCGGCCUGCGCGGAAGAUGUAACGGGGCUAAACCAUGCACCGAAGCUGCGGCAGCGACGCUUAUGCGUUGUUGGGUAGGGGAGCGUUCUGUAAGCCUGUGAAGGUGUGCUGUGAGGUAUGCUGGAGGUAUCAGAAGUGCGAAUGCUGACAUAAGUAACGAUAAAGCGGGUGAAAAGCCCGCUCGCCGGAAGACCAAGGGUUCCUGUCCAACGUUAAUCGGGGCAGGGUGAGUCGACCCCUAAGGCGAGGCCGAAAGGCGUAGUCGAUGGGAAACAGGUUAAUAUUCCUGUACUUGGUGUUACUGCGAAGGGGGGACGGAGAAGGCUAUGUUGGCCGGGCGACGGUUGUCCCGGUUUAAGCGUGUAGGCUGGUUUUCCAGGCAAAUCCGGAAAAUCAAGGCCGAGGCGUGAUGACGAGGCACUACGGUGCUGAAGCAACAAAUGCCCUGCUUCCAGGAAAAGCCUCUAAGCAUCAGGUAACAUCAAAUCGUACCCCAAACCGACACAGGUGGUCAGGUAGAGAAUACCAAGGCGCUUGAGAGAACUCGGGUGAAGGAACUAGGCAAAAUGGUGCCGUAACUUCGGGAGAAGGCACGCUGAUACGUAGGUGAAGCGACUUGCUCGUGGAGCUGAAAUCAGUCGAAGAUACCAGCUGGCUGCAACUGUUUAUUAAAAACACAGCACUGUGCAAACACGAAAGUGGACGUAUACGGUGUGACGCCUGCCCGGUGCCGGAAGGUUAAUUGAUGGGGUUAGCGCAAGCGAAGCUCUUGAUCGAAGCCCCGGUAAACGGCGGCCGUAACUAUAACGGUCCUAAGGUAGCGAAAUUCCUUGUCGGGUAAGUUCCGACCUGCACGAAUGGCGUAAUGAUGGCCAGGCUGUCUCCACCCGAGACUCAGUGAAAUUGAACUCGCUGUGAAGAUGCAGUGUACCCGCGGCAAGACGGAAAGACCCCGUGAACCUUUACUAUAGCUUGACACUGAACAUUGAGCCUUGAUGUGUAGGAUAGGUGGGAGGCUUUGAAGUGUGGACGCCAGUCUGCAUGGAGCCGACCUUGAAAUACCACCCUUUAAUGUUUGAUGUUCUAACGUGGACCCGUGAUCCGGGUUGCGGACAGUGUCUGGUGGGUAGUUUGACUGGGGCGGUCUCCUCCUAAAGAGUAACGGAGGAGCACGAAGGUUGGCUAAUCCUGGUCGGACAUCAGGAGGUUAGUGCAAUGGCAUAAGCCAGCUUGACUGCGAGCGUGACGGCGCGAGCAGGUGCGAAAGCAGGUCAUAGUGAUCCGGUGGUUCUGAAUGGAAGGGCCAUCGCUCAACGGAUAAAAGGUACUCCGGGGAUAACAGGCUGAUACCGCCCAAGAGUUCAUAUCGACGGCGGUGUUUGGCACCUCGAUGUCGGCUCAUCACAUCCUGGGGCUGAAGUAGGUCCCAAGGGUAUGGCUGUUCGCCAUUUAAAGUGGUACGCGAGCUGGGUUUAGAACGUCGUGAGACAGUUCGGUCCCUAUCUGCCGUGGGCGCUGGAGAACUGAGGGGGGCUGCUCCUAGUACGAGAGGACCGGAGUGGACGCAUCACUGGUGUUCGGGUUGUCAUGCCAAUGGCACUGCCCGGUAGCUAAAUGCGGAAGAGAUAAGUGCUGAAAGCAUCUAAGCACGAAACUUGCCCCGAGAUGAGUUCUCCCUGACCCUUUAAGGGUCCUGAAGGAACGUUGAAGACGACGACGUUGAUAGGCCGGGUGUGUAAGCGCAGCGAUGCGUUGAGCUAACCGGUACUAAUGAACCGUGAGGCUUAACCUUACAACGCCGAAG
This 2925-nucleotide ribosomal RNA is filed under the name Shigella flexneri. RNAcentral's name for it is "bacterial LSU rRNA". It matches the Rfam family "Bacterial large subunit ribosomal RNA". The record is from RNAcentral. Lineage: Bacteria; Pseudomonadati; Pseudomonadota; Gammaproteobacteria; Enterobacterales; Enterobacteriaceae.